GCUCCGAUAGCACAGUGGUAGUGCAAUUCCUUGGUAAGGAAGAGGUCGGCAGUCCGAUUCUGUCUCGGAGCACCA
This 75-nucleotide transfer RNA is filed under the name Novimethylophilus kurashikiensis. RNAcentral describes it as "tRNA-Thr". It matches the Rfam family "tRNA". From Rfam's summary of the family: Transfer RNA (tRNA) molecules are approximately 80 nucleotides in length. Their secondary structure includes four short double-helical elements and three loops (D, anti-codon, and T loops). Lineage: Bacteria; Pseudomonadati; Pseudomonadota; Betaproteobacteria; Nitrosomonadales; Methylophilaceae. The record is from RNAcentral.